RNA transcript from Quercus robur (English oak), 5148 nucleotides. It is a transcript of the gene named TMV resistance protein N-like, with no coding region annotated. The transcript is spliced from 9 exons. The record is from RefSeq and is a predicted model, not a curated record. Lineage: Eukaryota; Viridiplantae; Streptophyta; Magnoliopsida; Fagales; Fagaceae.
UUUAAUUUUAUUUAGUUUGUGUUUCAACUUCUAUUUGGAUGAUGAGAAAGUAGAGUGAAAGGGGAGCAACAUAAAGAUUUCAUCCUGGAUUUUGUGUUUCACUUUUGUUUUAUAGUAUCUGAAUUUCUCCACUUAUCCCAACUGUGAUUGUUAAAUUACAAACGUUCUUUUCUCUUACACUGUGUUUGGUUGGGUGGAAUUUAGGAAUGAUGGAAAACAUAGGAAAGAAAAUUGGGGGUAUAACAGUGUUUAAUGCUAUUCUUUUUCUCUACACCACCAUCAUCGUCUUUUCUCAAUCUCUACAUGGUAGUGUACACUACCAUCAUCAUCUUUUCAACAGCCACUGACAAUCUGUCUAUCGAUGAGAAUUUUGCGAUUUGCAGUUGGUUUUUGUUAAACUUGAGUUUUUUGUGCUGGAAAAUAGGCAAAAGAGGCUAGGAGUCACCGUGAGGGCAGAGUGAUAAUCAAGAUACAAAGUGCCCAGUUCAAGAUUUGCCAACAUAUUUCCAAUGUCUUCCAUUAGCACUCAAAAGGCCUCCCCUUCGUCAUCUUCAACGCCACAGUGGAAAUAUGAUGUCUUUCUUAGUUUUAGAGGUGAGGACACCCGCAAUAGUUUUACAGACCAUCUAUAUGUUGCUUUGAGACAAAAGGGCAUAAUCACCUUUAGAGAUGAGGAAAAACUUGAGAUAAGAAAAUCUAUUUCACCAGAGCUCUUGAAAGCAAUAGAAGAAUCAAGAUUUGCGAUUGUUAUUCUCUCAAAAAACUAUGCAACUUCAACAUGGUGUUUAGAUGAACUUGUAAAGAUCAUUGAAUGCAUGAAAGAGAUGAAAACAACGGUAUUUCCAAUAUUUUAUGAUGUGGAUCCAUCAAAUGUACGAAAACAAACAGGCUCUUUUGCCCAAGCCUUUUCUAUACAUGAAGAAUGUUUCAAGGACUAUAUAGAGAAUGUGAAUACAUGGAGAGCUGCUUUAAGGGAAGUGGCAAAUCUCAAAGGGUGGCACCUACUUGAUAGGUCUGAGGCACAACUUAUCCAAAAUAUUGUGGGAGAGUUAUGGCAUAAAUUGAGUUAUCCAUUCUUGGAAGAUAUUGAAGACCUUGUAGGAAUAAAAUCUAGAGUGAAAGAAUUGGAGUCAUGUUUAGCUACAGGGUUUAAUGAUGUUCGCAUUAUAGGGGUUUGGGGGAUGGGGGGAAUAGGUAAAACAACUCUUGCUAGAGUUGUUUUUGAUAUGGUUUCGAAGAAGUUUGAAGGUUGUUGCUUUCUCCGUAAUGUUAGGGAGGUUUGUGAAAAAGAUGGUUUAAUUCCAUUGCAACAACUACUUAUUAGAAAAAUAUUAAAUGAAUGUAUGACAAUACAAGAUGUUGAGGAAGGACUUUUCGUGAUCAAGAAUAGAUUACGUCAUAAAAGAAUUCUUCUCGUUCUUGAUGAUGUAAAUCAUUUAGACCAGUUGAAAAAGUUAGUUGGGAAGGGUAAUUGGUUUGGUUCUGGUAGUAGAGUUAUCAUAACAACAAGGGAUAAGCAUUUACUUCGUCUACUUAAAGUAGAUGAAAUAUACGAAGUUAAAGGAUUGAAUGAUGAUGAAGCUCUUCAUCUUUUAAGUUUGAAAGCUUUUACUAAUGACCAUCCUCCCAAAGAUUAUCUAGAGCUGUGUAAGGAUGUUAUACAAUAUACUAAAGGUCUUCCUUUGGCUAUUGAGAUUUUGGGUUCCUUUUUGUUUAGUAGAGAUAUUGAUCAAUGGAAAAGUACAUUAAAUAGGCUUAAAGAAUUUCCUAAAAGUGAAAUUCUCCAAGUACUUAAAAUAAGUUUUGAUGGACUAGAUGAAGUAGAGAAGGAAAUAUUUCUACAUAUUGCAUGUUUCUUUAAUAAUCGGAUAAAAAAUGACAUAGUAGAAAUCCUAGAUUAUCUCGGCCUUUACCCUGAUAUUGGUUUAGGGGUUCUUGUAGAUAAAUCUCUUGUAAAAAUGGAUGAAACUAAGUUAUGGAUGCAUGAUUUACUACAAGAAAUGGGUAGGAACAUAGUUUAUCAAGAGUGCCCUAAAGAGCCUGGAAAACGUAGCAAACUGUGGUUGCUUGAGGAUGUUGAUGAUGUACUUACAAAAAAUAUGGACACAGAAGCAAUUCAAGGCAUUGUUCUAAAGUUGUCUACACCAAAAGAGGCACAUUGGAAUCCUGAAUCAUUCUCAAAGAUGCAACAUCUUAAAUUACUCAUAAUCAAUAAUGUUUACCUUUUGCAUGAUCCCAAACAUCUUCCUAAUAGCUUAAGAAUUCUUGACUGGGACAAGUACCCUUCAAAGUAUUUUCCAUCAAGUUUCCAAUCAAAGUCAUUUCAGAGGUUAAAAUCGAUCCGAAUAAGCAAGCCUCUGAAACUUAUUGAAACCCCUGUCUUCACCGAAGUCCCGUUCCUUGAGAAAUUGGUUCUUGAAGAUUGUUUAAAUUUAUCCAGGGUGCACCCAUCCAUUGUAGUUCUCAAAAAGCUAACUUUUCUUAGUCUAAAAGGCUGCAAAAACCUAACAUCUCUUCCAAACAAGUUUGAAAUGGAGUCUCUUGAAACUCUUAUUCUUUCCGACUGCUCAAAAAUUAAAAAAAUUCCAGAAUUUGGAGAAAACAUGCAACGUGUAUUGAAGCUUUACUUGGAUGGAACUGCUAUAAAAGAGAUUCCUUCUUCCAUUGGUCUCUUAAAGAAUCUUAAAGUGCUAUCUUUCGAUGGAUGUAAGGGGUUAUCAUCAUUUAAAUCUCCAUCUUGGUAUGAUCUCCUCCCUUUUUAUUCAAUGCCAAAAAGUCCACAUCCUGUGGGAUUGUCCUCUCUAUUGGGUUUGUGUUCUUUGACCGAAUUGAAUUUAAGAGACUGCAAUCUCAGGGAAAUCCCUGAUGACAUUGGUUGCUUAAUCUCUUUAACAGAAAUAGAUUUAAGUGAAAAUAGUUUUGUUUGUCUUCCUGACAGCAUCGAUCAUCUAUGUAAUUUGAGAAAAAUGAUGUUGGAGAAUUGUAAGAGUCUUCGAUCAUUGCCAAAGCUUCCAUUAAGUAUCGGAGCUAUCGGGGGAUAUGGUUGUACCUCACUAGAAACAAUACCAGAUCUACUAAAACCUAAUUCUAUAUGUGAGGUAGAGCUUUUUGUUACAAAUUGCAGUAAACUGACUGACAAUCAAGGUGUCAUUGACAUGUUUUUUACAAUGAUAAGAAAGCACCUUCAGGGACUCUCUCUUAAUUGCCAAGUGUAUCAUAAUAGUUAUAACAUUGUUAUUCCUGGAAGUGUAAUUCCGAAAUGGUUUAGCCAUCAAAGCAUAGGGGUUGAAGUGAAUAUAAAAGUGGAAACUUCUUCUCAUUUGUGUGAUGAGUGGAUGGGCAUUGCUGUUUGCAUUGUAUUUUCAUGUGUUCAAGAUCACUGGAUCGAUAAUUGCUAUGACAAUGACCUCACCUGUCGAUUGAUAGUCAAUGGAGAAGAAAUGAAUGAUACAAUAGGCCCUUUAAGCAUAGUUGCUUUAUCAGAUCAUAUGUGGCUAUUUUAUUGGCUUCCUCAAUACUUCAUCGAGGAGGACAUAAAAUUACUGAAGGAAUUUGAAGAAAAUGAAUUUGGUCAGAUUGGCAUUAAAAUUGAACCCCGUGGUCGAACAACGAUGGUGAAGAAAUGUGGGUUCCGUAUGGUAUACAAGAAAGACAUAGAAGAUCUCAACCAAAUUGUGGCUCAGAAUAACAACACCAGCAUCAUUCCUUACGAGGACUUGGGUGUUCUCCAUCAUAAUUCAGUGGUGGAAGCAGAAGGUAACAAAGCAAAGCAAACCCAUGACGAUUAUGAUGGGGCUGGACCUAGUGAGCUACCACACCCACAAAGGAAUGAAAGAUUCAUAGAAUUUAUGGCCUAUGGUGAAUCUGAUUGUGAGGAGUACUUGGAAUGCAGUGAGGAGCUCAGUGAUUGGCAGAAAUCUAGUGAAAGUGACUUGGAAGGUUGAUGGAAUUUAGAAAAUCGGUUCAAAUACUCUUUAAUUUAAUGUGCGUGUUAUUCUGGGCCAUUCUGCAUUCUGUGCAUAUUCAAGCAGGCAAGCAACUGUGCAGACAAGGUUGAAAAAUAUAGAAGGUAUCCUGCUUUAAUUGGAUCUGAUUAGAGAGCUGUACUCUCCAGAAGUGGCUGAUUAAAUUUUAGCCAUCCCUAUCUCAAGCUGUGGAAUUACUGAAAAUCUGACAUGGCCUCAUACAACACAAACAUAGUGAGUGAAACCAAGUGUCUUUUUUCAUUAAGGAAGAGAAGUUGGAUCAUUUAUUCUUGUAGCGCAUUCUUGCUUGGGCUGUAUGAUUUUGGUCAGAUUAGACACUUAGAACUGAGGUCAUUUACCCUUGCUCUUGGAAGCAGUAAUUUACUCAGUAAAUGGAAGAUCUAGAUUUUCAUAAGCCGGAAUAUGUGAUGUUCUCUAGAUUAUCUUGUCAUAACUAACAUGUGGGACUUGUUGUAUAACCUCAACACAGUGAUGAUUGAGGGUGCAAAACAGUGUACUUACGAUGUGCUAAUGCUCAGUAAAGCUUUGGAUUGUAGGUAUGCACAAGCCUAUGAUGCACAACAUGUGGAUCAGAAUAACUGCAGCAGACUAAGGCGGGUGUGUCCAGUUGCGGAGGGAUUGCCAGUAUUGCUGACAGUUGAGGGGCACUGGCAGAGAAGCUGCGAAUGAGGUUGUUUUGCCUAUGUAGCUAAAUCAUGUGGUGGGAAGAAAAUUUUUGCAGGCUGUUGCAGUUCUGUCAUAUGCAACUGAAUGGCGGCUAGAUGCCUUGCUGUUUGAGAAGCAUUAACUAAGGCUCUACAGCUUGGUUUUUACAGAUUUGUUCUGGUUAGUAGAAGAAUGGAGGAAUUCUAUUUGGGAAAGAAGAAGGUUCCUUGGCAACUUGCUGCCCUGAUUGAUGGCUAAAAGUGCAAGGAAGUUGGAGAGCACCAAUGGUGUACAUAUAUGCUGUGCAUAGGAGUCACUGCAGAGGCUAGGUCCCUGGCUACUCUUGCUUCAAACUCUUUUAACAUUUUUUGGGUUUGUAACUCUAUUACUAGAUAGCUCUUAUGCAUGCAAUCACUAACAAUUUAAGACAUUGGGGAAAGAUUUGUGUCUGUGUAAAAAUUCCUGUAUAGUUCUGUUUCCAUCUCUAUAAUUAUGUUCAAUUUCCAUUUCCAUUUUA